UAAGGAAUAUUGGACAAUGGGCGGAAGCCUGAUCCAGCCAUGCCGCGUGAAGGAUGAAGGCGCUCAGCGUUGUAAACUUCUUUUGGAUGGGGACAAUAACUUCCAUUUAUGGGAGCUUGAGGGUACCAUCAGAAUAAGCACCGGCUAACUCCGUGCCAGCAGCCGCGGUAAUACGGAGGGUGCAAGCGUUAUCCGGAAUCACUGGGUUUAAAGGGUGCGUAGGCUGUUAGAUAAGUCAGUUGUGAAAUUCCUCGGCUUAACCGAGUGGACUGCGAUUGAUACUGUUUAACUUGAAUGAGGUUGAGGUAGGCGGAAUGUGGCAUGUAGCGGUGAAAUGCUUAGAUAUGCCAUAGAACACCGAUUGCGAAGGCAGCUUGCUGGGCCUUCAUUGACGCUGAGG
RNAcentral lists this ribosomal RNA (400 nucleotides) under uncultured bacterium. RNAcentral describes it as "bacterial SSU rRNA". It matches the Rfam family "Bacterial small subunit ribosomal RNA", at positions 355 to 751 of the family's 1533-position model. The record is from RNAcentral.